This 184-nucleotide unclassified non-coding RNA is filed under the name plant metagenome. RNAcentral describes it as "partial contains small subunit ribosomal RNA and internal transcribed spacer 1". The stretch from base 1 to 46 matches the Rfam family "Eukaryotic small subunit ribosomal RNA", at positions 1786 to 1831 of the family's 1831-position model. The record is from RNAcentral.
AAGUCGUAACAAGGUUUCCGUAGGUGAACCUGCGGAAGGAUCAUUAAAGAAUUAGGCUUCGCGCCAGUCUCCACCUCUGUAUACCGAAACUAUGUUGCUUUGGCAGGCCCCUGCAUUUCUCGGGCCUGCCAGAGGUUAUAAACCCUAGAAUCUCUGCUGUCUGAGUACUAUACAAUAGUUAAAA